Long non-coding RNA from Phacochoerus africanus (Common warthog), 403 nucleotides. RefSeq lists it as uncharacterized. Lineage: Eukaryota; Metazoa; Chordata; Mammalia; Artiodactyla; Suidae. The record is from RefSeq and is a predicted model, not a curated record. The transcript has 3 exons.
AUGAGGUGUCUGCAUUACUGAUGGCUACACGGCCAUCUCUGUCAAAGACUGAUCUCUGGGGACACUGAGAUGAUGGCAGGAUAAAGAGCAUCACAGGAAGAAGAACUUGAUCAACUCGUGUUUGUCAAGAUGUUCCUGUGAAAGCAUUUUUUGCAUGGGAUUAACAUUUGAGUUGAGUAGAUUGCCCGCCCGCCAGAAUGUGAGUGGGCUUCAUUCAAUCAACUGAAAGCCUUAAGGAAGAGACUGAGCUCACCUGAAAGAGGGAAUUGUGUCAUCAGCCUGCCUUCACCAUGGUCUAAAGGCCUACAAAGACGGAGGCAAGAGGGCUGGCAAACCUUGGACAGGAUCUCAGAAGAUGAAGUUCUUUUCCUGGCGUCUCUGGGCCAGGGUGUCAGGGAACGGG